UACGAAGGGGGCUAGCGUUGCUCGGAAUCACUGGGCGUAAAGCGCACGUAGGCGGUUCUUUAAGUCAGGGGUGAAAUCCUGGAGCUCAACUCCAGAACUGCCUUUGAUACUGGGGAUCUCGAGUCCGGGAGAGGUGAGUGGAACUCCGAGUGUAGAGGUGAAAUUCGUAGAUAUUCGGAAGAACACCAGUGGCGAAGGCGGCUACCUGGACCGGUUCUGACGCUGAGGCGCGAAAGCGUGGGUAGCAAACAGG
Molecule: ribosomal RNA, 253 nt
Filed under: uncultured bacterium
Lineage: Bacteria
Description: partial 16S ribosomal RNA
Rfam family: Bacterial small subunit ribosomal RNA
Source: RNAcentral